Molecule: ribosomal RNA, 378 nt
Filed under: uncultured bacterium
Lineage: Bacteria
Description: bacterial SSU rRNA
Rfam family: Bacterial small subunit ribosomal RNA
Source: RNAcentral
AUACGUAGGGUGCGAGCGUUAUCCGGAAUUAUUGGGCGUAAAGAGCUCGUAGGCGGUUUGUCGCGUCUGUCGUGAAAGUCCGGGGCUUAACCCCGGAUCUGCGGUGGGUACGGGCAGACUAGAGUGCAGUAGGGGAGACUGGAAUUCCUGGUGUAGCGGUGGAAUGCGCAGAUAUCAGGAGGAACACCGAUGGCGAAGGCAGGUCUCUGGGCUGUAACUGACGCUGAGGAGCGAAAGCAUGGGGAGCGAACAGGAUUAGAUACCCUGGUAGUCCAUGCCGUAAACGUUGGGCACUAGGUGUGGGGACCAUUCCACGGUUUCCGCGCCGCAGCUAACGCAUUAAGUGCCCCGCCUGGGGAGUACGGCCGCAAGGCUAAA